UUUUAUCCCGCCACUACCAAUUGUGACCUCUCCUGACCCAUGUGACCUUCACUGACCCCUGUGACCUGCUACUCCCAGGACGGCGCACAAGUUCAUUGAGUGCAUCACCAUGACAGUUGUGGAGAACCCGAGCUGCCCCAGCGAUCUGCGUCAGAUGUGGGCCACCACAGCCCACACCAUCAGACUGUCCCUCAAGGGCAGGUGUCACCACACAAACACCGGAUCAGCCAUGAUGGACCUGAUGUUGCUGUAUCUCUGGACAGCGGUCACUGCUGUCUGCCUCAUGGGCAACUGACCUCAUGAGCAACUGCUGUCUGUGGAUACAUGGGCAACUGCUGUCUGUGGAUACAUGAGCAACUGCUGUCUGUGGAUACAUGGGAUAUGCUGUCUGUGGAUACAUGGGACAUGCUAUCUGUGGAUACAUGGGAUAUGCUGUCUGUGGAUACAUGGGAUAUGCUGUCUGUGGAUACAUGGGAUAUGCUGUCUGUGGAUACAUGGGAUAUGCUGUCAACGACAUCUACCCAAGGGUUUCAAGAUAUGCAGAUUUAUUGACAAAUUUAUUUUUCAUCGAAAUAUGUGUCUGCCUGUUAAGCGCUAAUGUGUUGGCCAUUGUGACUGUAUUUAAUGUAUUAUAACGCUACC
Molecule: long non-coding RNA, 642 nt
Organism: Physella acuta
Lineage: Eukaryota; Metazoa; Mollusca; Gastropoda; Physidae
Source: RefSeq, a predicted model, not a curated record